CGCCGACGGGAGGCAGCAGUGGGGAAUAUUGGACAAUGGAGGAAACUCUGAUCCAGUGACGCCGCGUGAAGGAAGAAGGUCUUCGGAUUGUAAACUUAUUUUAUCAGGGAAGAAGAAAGUGACAGUACCUGAAGAAAAAGGACCGGCAAACUACGUGCCAGCAGCCGCGGUAAUACGUAGGGUCCAAGCGUUAUCCGGAUUUACUGGGUGUAAAGGGCGAGUAGACGGCGCUGUAAGUCAGCUGUGAAAACUUAGGGCUCAACCUUAAGCCUGCAGCUGAAACUGUAGUGCUAGAGUGCAGGAGAGGUAAGCGGAAUUCCUAGUGUAGCGGUGAAAUGCGUAGAUAUUAGGAGGAACACCAGUGGCGAAGGCGGCUUACUGGACUGUAACUGACGUUGAGGCGCGAAAGUGUGGGGAGCAAACAGGAUUAGAUACCCUGGUAGUCCACACCGUAAACGAUGGAUACUAGGUGUAGGCGAGAUAUCGUCUGUGCCGGCGCAAACGCAAUAAGUAUCCCACCUGGGGAGUACGGCCGCAAGGUUGAAACUCAAAGGAAUUGACGGGGGCCCGCACAAGCAGUGGAGUAUGUGGUUUAAUUCGACGCAACGCGAAGAACCUUACCAAGACUUGACAUAUACAUGAAAGCCUAAGAGAUUAGGCCCCUCUUCGGAGUGUGUAUACAGGUGAUGCAUGGUUGUCGUCAGCUCGUGUCGUGAGAUGUUAGGUUAAGUCCUGCAACGAGCGCAACCCUCGUGAUUAGUUGCCUGAAGAAGGAACUCUAAUCAGACUGCCGUAGUUAAUACGGAGGAAGGUGAGGAUGAUGUCAAAUCAUCACGUCCCUUAUGUCUUGGGCUACACACGUACUACAAUGGGUGUUACAGAAAGAAGCGAAACCGCGAGGUGGAGCAAAACUCAGAAAAGCACCCCUAGUUCGGAUUGGAGGCUGCAACCCGCCUCCAUGAAGCUGGAAUUGCUAGUAAUCACAGGUCAGCAUACUGUGGUGAAUACGUUCCCGGGCCUUGUACACACCGC
RNAcentral lists this ribosomal RNA (1032 nucleotides) under uncultured bacterium. Its description in RNAcentral is "bacterial SSU rRNA". It matches the Rfam family "Bacterial small subunit ribosomal RNA", at positions 336 to 1393 of the family's 1533-position model. The record is from RNAcentral.